RNAcentral lists this transfer RNA (87 nucleotides) under Escherichia coli. Its description in RNAcentral is "tRNA-Leu". It matches the Rfam family "tRNA". From Rfam's summary of the family: Transfer RNA (tRNA) molecules are approximately 80 nucleotides in length. Their secondary structure includes four short double-helical elements and three loops (D, anti-codon, and T loops). The record is from RNAcentral. Lineage: Bacteria; Pseudomonadati; Pseudomonadota; Gammaproteobacteria; Enterobacterales; Enterobacteriaceae.
GCCCGGAUGGUGGAAUCGGUAGACACAAGGGAUUUAAAAUCCCUCGGCGUUCGCGCUGUGCGGGUUCAAGUCCCACUCCGGGUACCA